GAACUACCAUCCUAAACCCAAAAAACAACACUUUAUGUGUCAAGAUAUAUUGUCAUUAAGCUCUAAUUUUAUGAAGAACAACACUUUAUAGGUCAAAGCUAAUAAUAAAUUGAAAAGAAAAAAAAAAUAGUUAGUUUUGGGCCAAAGCCCAUUACAAACCAGCACAAAUAAUCCGAAACAGUAGUUUGCCGUUAAUAAAAACAGAGUGGAAGAGCAAAGGACAGAGGAGACAAAUCACGCCAUAGAUCGGAGCAAGAUUCUUGGAUCUGCCUCUUAAGACCAAUCGGUGCUUUCGCGUGUCCUCAGUGACUGUAUAAACUUUAAUCCCAGAGACAAAAUCGAGUGGUGUAAAAAUGGAGGAUAGAGAGAAUGCGAAGAGAGAGUGUUUGUAACUGUAGGAACAACGAGUUUCGAUGCGCUUGUGAAAGCAGUGGUUAGUGAAGAUGUUAAAGACGAAUUGCAGAAAAGAGGAUUUACUCAUCUUCUCAUUCAAAUGGGUCGAGGAAACUUUUUCCCAACUAAGUGUGAUGGAGCAGAUGGAUCAUUAGUUGUGGAUUACUUCACAUUUUCCUCGAGUAUCGCUGAUUAUAUUCGGUUUGCAUCUCUUGCUAUU
Molecule: long non-coding RNA, 613 nt
Organism: Arabidopsis lyrata subsp. lyrata
Lineage: Eukaryota; Viridiplantae; Streptophyta; Magnoliopsida; Brassicales; Brassicaceae
Exons: 3
Source: RefSeq, a predicted model, not a curated record